Molecule: RNA transcript, 1425 nt
Organism: Arachis duranensis
Lineage: Eukaryota; Viridiplantae; Streptophyta; Magnoliopsida; Fabales; Fabaceae
Exons: 6
Source: RefSeq, a predicted model, not a curated record
UUAAUAUUCCUAAUAUUGUAGAAGAGGCUGGAAGCUCAACCACAGACCCGGAAAAAAACGUCAGAACUCACAAGUCACAACAAACCUGAGUAAUCAUAGCCCCUCAUCCCACUUCUUUCCGUUCGGUGUUAGUCAUCCUCGAAACAAGUCCCAAUCACACUGAACCUUGAGACAAAAUGGUGGUGGUGAUAGAGCAGCAAGAGAUCAAGGAUCGAAACGCCAAUCCCUCCAGGGUGGUUGCCGGUAACGAGGCUUCCGAUGGUUUUGAAACGGCCAGCGACACCGACCUUGGCAGUGACAACGGAGGGGAUGACGUCGGAUCUAGCAGCCAUGAUCAACCGCUCGAGCAACCGCAGCAGCAACAUCAACGGCAGCAGCUGAAGAUAGAACAUUUGGAGGCGGAGCCGGAGCAGAGUGUUUCUCCAAGUAAUAGUUGCCCUGGGGAUCUCUUGAUCAAUGAGGAGUUGGAGAAGAAAGCAAUGGUUCAAGCAAAUGAAGCAAAGGCAGAAGGGAACAAGCUUUUUGUGGAUGGGAAGUAUGAGGAAGCAUUAUCCCAGUAUGAACUUGCUUUACAAGUUGCAUCUGACAUGUCUUCAUUGGUUGAAAUACGCUCAAUAUGCCAUGCAAACCGUGCUGUGUGCUUUCAGAAACUGGGAAAAUAUGACAACACAGUUAAAGAAUGCACAAAAGCACUAGAUCUGAAUCCAGUGUACAUUAAAGCUUUAGUAAGAAGAGGAGAAGCUCAUGAAAAGCUUGAACAUUUUGAAGAAGCCAUUGCUGAUAUGAAAAAGAUCUUAGAAAUUGAUCCCUCAAAUGAUCAAGCUAGGAAGGCCAUCAGGCGACUUGAGCCGCUUGCUGCAGAAAAGCGGGAAAUGAUGAAGGAAGAGAUGAUUGCAAAACUAAAAGAAAUGGGAAAUUCUUUCCUGGGCCGUUUUGGGAUGAGUGUCGAUAACUUCAAAGCAGUUAAAGAUCCAAACACUGGUUCUUAUUCUAUCUCAUUCCAGCAUUAAGUGUGGCAGAUCAAAGUCAUAGUAGCAUUAAGUAAGAAAGAUGCAGUCCAUAAUGAUGCAGUGGUGCUAAGCAUUUAAGCAAUGUCCGCAUUGGUCAAGUACUUCAUGUCCUAGCUAGAAGAUGAUGGAACUAAUUCAUUGGGACAUUUUUUUUUCUUAGGCACCUUGGAAUUCUGGGUUAUUUAAGUAGUGAGGAAGUUGAACAUUGCUAAAUCAUGAGUAAGUGCAAACAUUUGUUCAUGAUGGCAAUAUCUAAGUGUUUUGGGUUUGUUCGCUGCUGCUCCGUCACAGGUUCGUUCAUUGUGUUGUGUUAGUCAUUACUGUUAGAUGUGAUUACUGAUUAACAAGUGGUUGUUUACUUGUUUUACAACAGCCCUUGAUUAAUGCAGAUAAUAUAAAUUGAGUCUUUGAAUUA